RNAcentral lists this ribosomal RNA (468 nucleotides) under uncultured bacterium. Its description in RNAcentral is "partial 16S ribosomal RNA". It matches the Rfam family "Bacterial small subunit ribosomal RNA", at positions 28 to 507 of the family's 1533-position model. The record is from RNAcentral.
GACGAACGCUGGCGGCGUGCUUAACACAUGCAAGUCGAACGGAAAGGCCCUGCUUUUGCGGGGUGCUCGAGUGGCGAACGGGUGAGUAACACGUGAGUAACCUGCCCUUGACUUUGGGAUAAAUUCAGGAAACUGGGGCUAAUAUCGGAUAUGAGCUCCUGCUGCAUGGGGGGGGUUGGAAAGUUUCGGCGGUUGGGGAUGGACUCGCGGCUUAUCAGCUUGUUGGUGAGGUAGUGGCUUACCAAGGCUUUGACGGGUAGCCGGCCUGAGAGGGUGACCGGCCACAUUGGGACUGAGAUACGGCCCAGACUCCUACGGGAGGCAGAAGUGGGGAAUAUUGCAGAAUGGGCGGAAGCCUGAUGCAGCAACGCCGCGUGCGGGAUGACGGCCUUCGGGUUGUAAACCGCUUUCGCCUGUGACGAAGCGUGAGUGACGGUAAUGGGUAAAGAAGCACCGGCUAACUACGUG